Molecule: ribosomal RNA, 470 nt
Filed under: uncultured prokaryote
Description: bacterial SSU rRNA
Rfam family: Bacterial small subunit ribosomal RNA
Source: RNAcentral
AGUUUGAUCCUGGCUCAGGAUAAACGCUGGCGGCAUGCCUAAUACAUGCAAGUCGAACGAGAGUGCUUGCACUCUAGUGGCGAACGGGUGAGGAACACGUAAGGAACUUGCCCCAAAGNCGAGGAUAACCAUUGGAAACGAUGGCUAAUACUGGAUAGGAUAUAGAUUCGCAUGAACCUAUAUUUAAAGGUGCGUUUGCACCACUUUGGGAGAGCCUUGCGCAGCAUUAGCUAGUUGGUAGGGUAACGGCCUACCAAGGCAACGAUGCUUAGCUGGACUGAGAGGUUGAACAGCCACACUGGGACUGAGACACGGCCCAGACUCCUAUGGGAGGCAGCAGUAGGGAAUUUUCGGCAAUGGGCGAAAGCCUGACCGAGCAAUGCCGCGUGAACGAUGAAGGCCUUCGGGUCGUAAAGUUCUGUUGUAAAGGAAGAAUGAUCAGAGGAGGAAAUGCCUUUGAUUUGACGGUA